UAUAUCCUUAUCAAAAUGUCUUAAUGUUCAUUUUCAAAUUGUAACUUGUUUCAGUAUACUGUCCUUGUUUUUUUUUUUCUUAAUUUUUUUUAACAGCACAUGUAAGUGUGUCAUGCUCUGUUCAGCUGAUGAUACUUAUCUCCUAUUCGCCACUAAGCUGAUGCUGUCACACCCCACAGACUCAUCAUCUGCAAAGAUCAACUGCCACUCAUUUUUACAAAAAUAUCCAUUUUGAUGAAUGUGAAGACAUCACAGGCAACUGCAGAAAGAUUUAAUUGGAACUUUGCCUGUGUUUCUCUUUGUACUUGUGUGUCUAUUUGUUCUAUUAUAUUUAAUUUACUUAUUUACAUUUAAAUGUCAAGUGUAAUUUUUAUGCUUUCAUGUAAUGACUUUUUAGAGCAUUGUCAUUUUUGCUAUAAUUUCCCAUGUCAAUAAAAAACAUAAUUUACAUAAA
Long non-coding RNA from Carassius auratus (goldfish), 454 nucleotides. RefSeq lists it as uncharacterized. The record is from RefSeq and is a predicted model, not a curated record. The transcript has 2 exons. Lineage: Eukaryota; Metazoa; Chordata; Actinopteri; Cypriniformes; Cyprinidae.